AAAUGUGUAUGAAGGUUUAAACAAUGGGUUUGGAGGAUGGAGAUAGGAGUGAGUGGAGUGGGUGGUUGGACGAGUAGUAAGGCUUAGAGAGAUGGUAGUGGGUUUGGAAUAGGUGCAGGGGAAGAUAAUGAAUGAAGAUGAAUGAAGAGAGCGUGAGAUAGAAGAUGGAUGUGAUGGACAAGAAGGUGGCCACGUGCCUGGAGCUUCAUGUAUAUGGGUAUGAAAGAGUUUGAAGAGAGAGAAAAGGUGGUAAUAUGGAAUGGGUUUGGUGGGUGCAAGCAUGAGGCAUGAAGAUGAGGGUUAGUAUGGAAGUGUGGGUAUGAUGAGCGAAAGAGAGAGAUGAGAUGAGUGCAUGGUGGUGUAGAAAGAAAGGUGAUCAUACAAAUGGGCAUAGGUAUGGAGGUAUAAUGGGUAUAGGGUCAUGGGUAUGCUAAAUGGGCAAAAAGGGUAUAAGCCCGAAAUUAAUGGAGUAGGUAGUGGGAGAUAAUAGGAAAUGGGUGUUCAUGGGGAUCCUCUGCGUACAUGGUGGGAAAGGAAACAGUGAAGAGUACCCACAGCCAACUGAACUUUCAUUAUUCCUCUCAUUUUAACAUAAGCUUGACCACAAUAUUUCUGAACUCUCUCUUAGGACUCAUACUUCCGAUGGCUAUUUUGUGGUCUACAAUGCCAAUGGUGAUAUUUUCCGUCUUUCAAAGCCGAAAAGAGGUAAGUGACCCUCAUCAAUCGAACAACUCACUUUCUUAUAUAUUCAGGCAACAACUAGAGCAACUCCAGAUCUAUGAAUAGUAUGGGCCCAAGAAUCUGCUUAACAGAAUGCUCCAAAUCUUCAACAAGUGUAAAUCAGUUGGAUACGAUUGCACAUUGUGUUGUAGCGUGAACAACAGAGAUGGCAAAAGGACUUCAUUGUCAUGACCGAAAAAGCGUCAACUUCUUUCUCAUUGACUGGCAUAAUAUCCUCAGUAACAAACUGAUCCAGAUCAAAUAUAAAUGCAGUAUUCCCACAAGAUACAACCGGAACAGGACCUUGCUUCUUUUCCAUCUAAGAUCUUUGCGCAACCCAGAUCAUCUGGAGGAGUUUUGUUCAUCCUCAACACUCACGAGCUAUGAUCUGUGCUAUCACCACCUGGCUCUCUCAAAUAGGGAUGUACAACCUGAUGUAUAACAAGGUAGGAUGCCGAAAACAGGGGAAUGGCAAAACCAAAUAGAAAACAAACCAGUGAAACAAAUAAAACAACCAAAGCCAUGUUUCAUGUUUAGAUCAACAGGUUUGGCUGUAGGUGAGUGAACUAGAAUGCACCUAAAGAGAUAAGAACAAGACAAAACUCCUAUAUGUGGCAUAGCGAAAACUAAAACAGAGCUGAGCCAUUCUCAAAUCAUCAUAAGGAAAAUAGGCAAGAUAGCCGCCAAGGAAAUCCGAGAACCAAGCAGGAACCAUAAGAUAGAACGUAUACCCAAACAAAUCACAGACAAUAUCAAGCAAAAGGAAUGAAACUACAUACUGAUAAAGAAUAUGAAGGAUCCAUGGCAGUCAUACCUCGCUUUUCUUCCCCCUCAAGCUCUCUGUUCUCUCUGGAUAUCUUAGCCAAAACUCCUCCUAGUUUUCCCUCUGAGCUCUCCUCAAGCUCCCAGAAAAACUCUCCCUCAGGCUCCUCCGGAAUCUCUCCUUUUUCUCUCCUCCUCUCUCAAUAUCCAGCUUGCUCCUUGCAAAAUCAGCACCCUCUCUCCAAAAACAUGCUCUGUUUUUCUUAGCUUCUCCCUGGUCCCUGCAUCCCCUAAAAAUCUCCUUUUCUCCUUUUUCUUUUCUCUCGGAUUUGCCCUUCUAACCAUAUCUGCAGAGACAGCCCCCUUCAUGCAGCUGGCAACCUUCCCAUAACAGAAAAAUACGCUCCCCUGAUUCCAGAAGAUUCUUUCCCUUUACAGGUGUCUUCCCCGGAUUAGUCCAUCAAUUCCACUAUUUUGAUCCCAUAUUGACUAAUUCGGGAGUGACACGUGGCCAGAAUGAGCUGCAUGAAAUAGCACCCAAAUAGGGGUCUACAAAUAUGUCCCUCUUUGGUAGAGUUCACGAGUGUAAAGAAUAUGAACACUGGAGUGAAAAGCAAGUGUGAAUAGUGAGUGCAAUGAAGUGAACUCUACUGAAGAACAAAGGAGACCCCCAAAAGGACACCAGUGGAACCCAAACUCACUCAGGCCAACAGAAUGAACAAUGAGGCUCUAAUCCUAAGAGAGAAAAAUGUCACAAAAUGCCUCUGAAGCCACACUAAGGAUCCAAGCUCCCUCUAAGACAUCUCCAAAAGUGACUCGAAGAUCAAUGUCAAAGAUGAGUAACGGUCGAACCACCCUGGAGUACAAUAAAGAAUGUGCCCGAAGGAGACUGCCCUAUGUGAACUAUACGAGAAUGCCAAGUGUAGGGUGCCCAACAACAUGAUCGAAAUAUGCGUCACGGAUCUCAAAAGACUGUGUCAUGUGUAGUGGAAAGGGAAGUCUAAAAGAGCAAUGAUGAAUAGGCGAUAAGCAUCAAGUAACCAGGUGAGGAGAAUGGCUCUGAACGCCUAAAAUGGAAAUGUGAUCCUGAAUGUCAUACUGAAGCAAAGACCUGGACGCCAAACUGACUUGAUAGGAAGAAUGAAUGACCGAUCUAUAUGGGUGCGGUCCCGACUCAAACUAAACACAAUCUGAUAGGGAAAUGACCGAUCGAUAUGGGUGCGGCCCCGACUCAAACUGAACUGAUAAGAAGAUGGCCGAUUUAUAUAGGUGCGGCCCUAGAAACUAAACUGACAUGACAAGGAGAUGGUCGAUCGAUAUAGGUGCGGCCCCGACUCAAACUGACACGAUAAUGACCGAUCGUAUAGGUGCGGUCCCAGAAACUGAACUGACAUGACAAGCAGAUGACCGAUCGAUAUAGGUGCAGUCCCAGAAACUGAACUGACAUGACAAAGAGAUGACCGAUCGAUAUAGGUGCGGUCCCGACUCAAACUGACACGAUAAUGACCGAUCGUAUAGGUGCGGUCCUGGAAACUGAACUAACAUGACAAAGAGAUGGUCGAUCGUAUAGGUGCGGCCUCGACUCAAACUGACACGAUAAUGACCGAUCGUAUAGGUGCGGUCCCAGAAACUGAACUGCCAUGACAAAGAGAUGGUCGAUCGUAUAGGUGCGGCCUCGACUCAAACUGACACGAUGAUGACCGAUCGUAUAGGUGCGGUCCCAAAAACUGAAUUGACAUGACAAAGAGAUGGUCGAUCGUAUAGGUGUGGCCUCGACUCAAACUGGCACGAUAAUGACCGAUCGUAUAGGUGCGGUCCCAGAAACUGAACUAACAUGACAAAGAGAUGGUCGAUCGUAUAGGUGCGGCCCCGACUCAAACUGACACGAUGAUGACCGAUCGUAUAGGUGCGGCCUCGACUCAAACUGACACGAUGAUGACCGAUCGUAUAGGUGCGGUCCUAGAAACUGAACUAUCAUGACAAAGAGAUGGUCGAUCAUAUAGGUGCGGCCCCGACUCAAACUGACACGAUGAUGACCGAUCGUAUAGGUGCGGUCCCAGAAACUGAACUGACAUGACAAAGAGAUGGCUGAUCGUAUAGGUGCGGCCUCGACUCAAACUGGCACGAUAAUGACCGAUCGUAUAGGUGUGGUCCCAGAAACUGAACUGACAUGACAAAGAGAUGGCCGAUCGUAUAGGUGCGGCCCCGACUCAAACUGACACGAUGAUGACCGAUCGUAUAGGUGCGGUCCCAGAAACUGAACUGUCAUGACAAAGAGAUGGUCGAUCGUAUAGGUGCGGCCCCGACUCAAACUGACACGAUGAUGACCGAUCGUAUAGGUGCGGUCCCAGAAACUGAACUGACAUGACAAAGAGAUGGCCGAUCGUAUAGGUGCUGCCCCGACUCAAACUGACACGAUGAUGACCGAUCGUAUAGGUGCGGUCUCAGAAACUGAACUGACAUGACAAAGAUAUGGUCGAUCGUAUAGGUGCGGCCUCGACUCAAACUGACACGAUGAUGACCGAUCGUAUAGGUGCGGUCCCAGAAACUGAACUGUCAUGACAAAGAGAUGGUCGAUCAUAUAGGUACGGUCCCAGAAACUGAACUGACAUGACAGGAAGAUGGCCGAUCGUAUAGGUGCGGUCCCGACUCAAACUGACAUGAUAAUGACCGAUCGAUAUAGGUGCGGUCCCGACUCAAAGUGAACUGAUAAGAAGAUGGCCGAUCGAUAUAGGUGCGGCCCCGACUCAAACUGACACGAUAAUGACCGAUCGUAUAGGUGCGGUCCCAGAAACUGAACUGUCAUGACAAAGAGAUGGCCGAUCGUAUAGGUGCGGCCUCGACUCAAACUGACACGAUAAUGACCGAUCGUAUAGGUGCGGUCCCAGAAACUGAACUGUCAUGACAAAGAGAUGGUCGAUCGUAUAGGUGCGGUCCCAGAAACUGAACUGACAUGACAGGAAGAUGGCCGAUCGUAUAGGUGCGGUCCCGACCCAAACUGACACGAUAAUGACCGAUCGAUAUAGGUGCGGUCCCGACUCGAACUGAACUGAUAAGAAGAUGGCCGAUCGAUAUAGGUGCGGCCCUGACUCAAACUGACACGAUAAUGACCGAUCGUAUAGGUGCGGUCCCAGAAACUGAAUUGACAUGACAAAGAAAUGACUGAUCGUAUAGGUGUGGUCCCGACUCAAACUGACACGAUAAUGACCGAUCGAUAUAGGUGUGGUCCCGACUCGAACUGAACUGAUAAGAAGAUGGCCGAUCGAUAUAGGUGCGGCCCCGACUCAAACUGACACGAUAAGAUGAUGAAUGACCUGAUCAAGUGACCCAAAACCACCACAAUUCUCCAUGCAAUGACGUGUGAAAAACCACCACUCAAGGUGAAACAAGGAUAAUGUCGAGUAAUCAAUGAGGAAAGGAAAAGACAGAGAACGAAUAUCACAAGUGGUGGUAUGUGAUAUCGAAAAAUAGUGAUGAAAUGAUGUCCAAGCGGAAAAUAUCACAGUGAAGAGUGAAGAAUGAGGCUCGAAUAUGUAUGUCAGGUCUAGAACUCAUGACGUAUCCAAACAUAGCAUGCAAGCACUACAGGGUCCCCAACCCGGUGUAAUAAGUAAAUGAGGUGAUGAAAGAAAAAGCUAUGUGCUCGUGUGAGGCUCAAAGGGCUAGCAACGGGUAACUCUAUAUGUGAGGGUGAUAAAGUAAAUAGGCUCAUGAAAUGAUGGCCACCCAUCCUUUGACCAAAACCUCGAACAUCGUGCUUUUGAGAUCUCACAUGGUCAAUACUAAAGACUGGCAUCCAUCCAACAUAGUCAUGACGACUCCUCUGAAAUCGUGCAAAAGGCUCCCACUGAUGCUCUGUGAUGAUCAUCAAUGUCGUCUGAAAAUCAACUCACUCUAUCAUCACAAGCCACUCACCAUCAUCUCAUAAAAUCACCAUGUCUAAUCAUCCCGACUCUCUGAAGUCAUGUGCAAUGGCUCAAAUCUGGAUGCUCCAUGAUAACCUCUCUAUCUCAACAAUAUCGUCAAACAAAUCAAGCCACUCUCUCAUCGUGAUCCAUCUAUCAUCAUGUAAAGCUCACCUCGGGUCUAACCAUCUCGGACUCUACCUGGUCAGAUCCAUGAAAUGAUGGAAAGGAUAGGCAAUGGUACUGUAGCAUGAUAAGGCGAAUCAAGGGUAGUAAAGGUCGUACGAUGGUACCAAGGGAUGGUGUCAUGUCAAGCUCAAAAUGGGUAGGUCAUCAAGUCCACAAAGUCAAGGUACGAAUAUGGAUAUGGUAUCGCUCUAAUCAAAAGGUGAUAUGAGGCACAGUCUCGAACUCCCUAGGUCGAUCUCCUGAUCCUAGGUCAAUAGACUCAAUAUCCUCCAUGAUAGGUCAGGCCAAAGUGAUCGUGAUGUAAGUGAAAGAUGUAUCAUAUUGAAAGUACAACACAUCAUAUGAAAUAUGGUCCCGUGAUGGCAAUCCUAAACUGGAAAUAUGACAGAAACUCUAAGGUCAUAAAGGUGUCCACUAUGAGAUGGCUACAAAUGUGACCAGAGAAUCUCCAUCAAUAAUCCGAGAUAAAGAGAGGUGUGAAAAACACGCUAUCACGAGAUCGGUACUCCAUCUAUAAACAUAUAUCCUUGAAUCAACCUUCAACUCGAGCUCCAUAAGAGAAAAAUAAUAAGGUGAUCAAGGCGAAUCUCUCGAAGACAGUGUGGAUGUGAAAAAUGCGCCUUUCACCUUUCUGUAAUGAAAAUAUGAGCAUCGAGUCGAAAAUUGAACCAAGGAUCAAACAAAUGAUGAGGUACUGAGCCCGUGAUAAGCAUACAGUGUAAAAAGAUGAUCAAUGAACAUAUCCCAAAGCAUCAUGUGAGUGAUAACAAAGUGAAGGGGUGUGUCGAGCCAAGAAAUGAGAAUGAAAACCCUAGGGAGAAAACAUGCUAAACUCGUCAAGUAAAAAGCAUAAUCUAGAGCGACGAGACAAAGGUGAUCCAAUCGAUACUCAAACUCAUACCGAUCUCCGAGCACUCUCAACUGGAGACUAAAAAGAGGGAACACUGGAUCCGAACUGUAACUAAAGAGGCUCUGAAGGCCCUCAGAUGCACCCACGUGUAGGGAGGGAGUCCUAAUCGAAGGAUCUACGGCUCAACCUACGAGAUCAAGGUGGCUCUAAAUGGAUAUGGGUGGACUUUAAAAAAAAUCCCUAGCAGAAGCGAUCAUACCCUCCAGCGGUACACAACCCUCUGCACGCCUAAAAAAAAGACGGGGCGCUUCCAUGCAAGGUGGACAUCGCAUCCACACAUGCACUACCUCGACAUCCUAGGGGGUUUCCUAUGGUGAAUCCUCUCAAACUCUCAACGCUCAAUAGUCAACUAGGGUGCAUAGUGAUCGGUGUGGGUGCAUCCGAAACCCUAAGAAGCUAAAGCAGAAGAUGAAACAUACUGGUCGCAUAAAUAUCCAUGAAACCUAGCUCGGGGCUAUACAGGUCUUCAAUGAUCGGACUCUAAUCGACAACAAUGCGCCGCUCGCCUCCAGAAUGCUCCCAAACAUCAGUAUAGCCCGUCGCUAGACCCUACUCUUAACUUCUAUCUCAGUCAGAGUACAAGCACACACAAGGCCUCACACUUGCAAAAGUGAGAACCGUAAUGAAGAAAGUGACUGAGACUAGAGAGUGAGAGAUAAGGGGAUAGAUGUGCGACCCACAUAAACAAGCGGCACGAAAUCACACAGAUGAGGGCAAUCAUGCAACACACAGUCAAACAAAACUCAGAUAUAUCAUCAAUGUACACACAAGAUAAGCGAGAAUACGACAAUCAGAUGGAUAGUGAUACAAAGACAACACGCUCAAAGAUGAUCAAAAUAAUAUACCAACAAGUGGAUCAGCAUGUCGAGUCGAAUGAUGUACAGUAGUGAGUGUAUGCACGUGAAGUGAUCAAAACAAUCAUGACAAAAUCAGGGUCAAUGUGCUAAGCAAAGCAAUAAGAUCAAUCAUCAAUGAUCCAGCAUGUCAAUGUCUCAAACAAAUAUAUCAAUGCAACACAGAAGAAAUCAUGGCAUCAGAAUCCUCAAUCAAUAUAAAUCAAUCAACACGAUCGACGUGUCAAAGUCUCAAGUGGAUAUAAAAUCCGAGCAUGCAUCAAAUAUCCUCAAUGUGCAAUCAAGAAAUGGGCAUCCACUGAUUGUCCAAUCGAAUGCCACGUUUGCUUCAUUCUAAGUUCAAGUUUGACCCUCUAAAUGAUCCCCAGUGGAGUCGCCAUUUUGUGGACCCCGCAUUUCGUGCUUGAUGCGUUUCCCACUCGAUGGCGAGCUCGAUUUUUAUUUUGAAAAAUUAAUUUUAUUUAUUGUUUGUUGAAAAAAAUGACUUGGAGUCGCCACUUAUUUUUGUUUUAUUUUUAAAGGGUAAACAAAAUAAGAAAGAAAAACCCUAAGUGUGACUCCUUAUUUUGGAAAAGGCGGUCUGUGAAAAACUGGAUCGGGUUCGGGGGUCAGGUUACUUAUUGGGAAGGUACGGUAAAGACCGUAGCACCCCUCUAAGUCCCUAAAAUCGGGUCUCUACUAAUAGAAUGAAGUUGACGUGGCAAUCAAUGAGGAAAUCAGCGGAUACUCAAAUCAAACUUGCACAUAUGAAAAUAAGAGUAUGCAUAGAGAAUAAUCAAAAUGAGAAUGAGUGCGUACCUGGACCUCUAGUGACAAAUGCGCUAUCAUGAAACAGGAUUAGUGAGCAAUGAACAAGAUAUAAUUAAGCGCAUAUCAAGAAAUAGAGUAAACCAAUCAUGCAUGGCAAAUAAAUCAAUCGAUCUGUCAAUCAAUCAUGAAGUCAAGUAUGUGGGGCCCCCACCAAAGCCCGUUUAUUUUGCAUGAAUUAAUUCCAUAAAUUCCAUUAGUCGGAAUUACGGAAUUUAAUUCUUGCUUAUUUUUACAACAUUUUAAAAGAUUAUGAAAGAUUUGAAAAUUGCUUACCGAAUAGAAAGUGGAAGCAAAUUUGAUUAAAAGUGAGACUCUUGGGUGAUCCUAAAAAUUCUAAGGAUGAAAGAGUGUGGAAUUGAAAUUAUUGUUUUAUUGAAAAAUGAGGAACUGGGAAAUUAUUAAAAAAAAUGAGAUUUGAAAAAUUGUUGUCAAAGUCAAAGAGGAUAAAAGGGAAGAUGUCACGUGACCAAAGGUGGCCAUGCAACUGAAUGCUCAUAUGCGCGGACCCAAGGAGGUCACUGGGGCUGCUUUGUCGGCGCACCAUCCUCUCUUAUAACUGCAAAUAGGCUCGGUAUGAAAGAAACUUGAGACAGGUCUGGUGACUCAAAAUAUGGAUCAGAACCCACAGAACCUUUGAUCACGAUCACCUAGGAUGUAACACGUCCCUCUCUCAAAGCAAAUCUUUGUCCAGCUUCAAGAGGAACAACAGAUAUCAACUCGAAAAACUACUGUAACAUCAUUCCCAGGCAUAACCAUCUUAACUUCUUCAAGCAAUUGAACCUUCCCAGUGGCAUCUGUAGUCCUCAGGUGGCUUUGAUUUAUCAGAAGAAUUGAAAGCCGAAGAUUUAGGCAUUGGAGGGGUCACAUGCAUUAGUUGCCUAGAUUGCUUAAAUGCCAAUUCCUCAAGCCGAUGUGUGUUAACAGGCAGCUGUGGUGUAGUGCAAGCCCAUGAUGGAGCCCGUGCCAAUGCUUCAGCCAUAUUAAGACCAACUGUAAUACUUGGAAGCCCAGGUGCCGGGGCAGAACGAUAUUUUGUUGAGCAGAUGAGGAUCCAAUGAGCAAAUUCUGAACAGCCAUGUUCAACCCAGGUGACGAAACCCUCCCAAGAUCCAAUUCGGUUCCAAGUGAAGAGAAAUCCUUAUCAAACACAGUCUUGUGGAUGGUUUCUCACUAAGCAAUCUCAUGGUUUACACUUUCUGCUUAUUUAUGAAGUUUGCUAAUCCUUUCCUUUCUUAUCCUCGAGACGACCUUCUUCCGAUCGAGCCUUCCUAUCCUCGGUGUGGCAUUUAUACGACAUAACCCAACUCACCUAUCAACCCAUAUCUGAAUUUGGCUGCGUCUUAGCAAGAUGCUUCACGGCGUCUUUCUCCAGCUGCAGCCACAACGUGUCAGCUGCCUCCACCCAAAACCUGAUAUGCUGAGAAGUUUCCGUCUAUUAUUGGAUUCGGUAUCUGAUUCCUCAGUCGCUUUCAUUCUCUCAAUCCCUUCCAUGCAUGCAUGAGGGUUGGUGUUAUGUGGUGUAAGGAGAGAAACGGGUAUGGGAUGUGAUCAAAUGGGUGUAUGUGUGAGGGUAUGAAAUAUAGGUGUGGAGACGGGUAUUAUAGGCAAAAGAGGUGGCCAUGCACAUGAGAUGAGUGUGAAGCACGGCCACGGGUAGUGAGAGAAAAUGGGUGGUUAUGUGUUAAGUAUGAGUGGUGAUGAAAUGUGUAUGAAGGUUAGAACAAUGGGUUUGGAGGAUGGAGAUAGGAGUGAGUGGAGUGGGUGGUUGGACGAGUAGUAAGGCUUAGAGAGAUGGUAGUGGGUUUGGAAUAGGUGCAGGGGAAGAUAAUGAAUGAAGAUGAAUGAAGAGAGCGUGAGAUAGAAGAUGGAUGUGAUGGACAAGAAGGUGGCCACGUGCCUGGAGCUUCAUGUAUAUGGGUAUGAAAGAGUUUGAAGAGAGAGAAAAGGUGGUAAUGUGGAAUGGGUUUGGUGGGUGCAAGCAUGGGGCAUGAAGAUGAGGGUUAGUAUGGAAGUGUGGGUAUAAUGAGCGAAUGAGAGAGAUGAGAUGGGUGCAUGGUGGUGUAGAAAGAAAGGUGAUCAUACAAAUGGGCAUAGGUAUGGAGGUAUAAUGGGUAUAGGGUCAUGGGUAUGCUAAAUGGGCAAAAAGGGUAUAAGCCCGGAAUUAAUGGAGUAGGUAGUGGGAGAUAAUAGGAAAUGGGUGUUCAUGGGGAUCCUCUGCGUACAUGGUGGGAAAGGAAACAGUGAAGAGUACCCACAACCAACUGAACUUUCAUUAUUCCUCUCAUUUUAA
RNAcentral lists this long non-coding RNA (10440 nucleotides) under Vitis vinifera (wine grape). RNAcentral's name for it is "long non-coding RNA (VVIN_LNC006583)". The record is from RNAcentral. Lineage: Eukaryota; Viridiplantae; Streptophyta; Magnoliopsida; Vitales; Vitaceae.